ACGAGGGGCCCCUGCGACGGCGGCCUCGCGAACCUGGUCAGGGUGGAAACGCAGCAGCCAUAAGCAUGUGUCUCCGGGUGUGGGGGCCUCUCGUCCG
RNAcentral lists this signal recognition particle RNA (97 nucleotides) under Botrimarina hoheduenensis. RNAcentral's name for it is "Planctomycetes bacterium Pla111 Bacteria_small_SRP". It matches the Rfam family "Bacterial small signal recognition particle RNA". From Rfam's summary of the family: The signal recognition particle (SRP) is a universally conserved ribonucleoprotein involved in the co-translational targeting of proteins to membranes. Archaeal SRP consists of a 7S RNA and homologues of the eukaryotic SRP19 and SRP54 proteins. Lineage: Bacteria; Pseudomonadati; Planctomycetota; Planctomycetia; Pirellulales; Lacipirellulaceae. The record is from RNAcentral.